AUUGAACGCUGGCGGCAUGCUUUACACAUGCAAGUCGAACGGCAGCGCGGAGAGCUUGCUCUCUGGCGGCGAGUGGCGAACGGGUGAGUAAUACAUCGGAACGUGUCCUUAAGUGGGGAAUAACGCAUCGAAAGAUGUGCUAAUACCGCAUAUCUCUCAGGAGGAAAGCAGGGGAUCGCAAGACCUUGCGCUAAAGGAGCGGCCGAUGUCUGAUUAGUUAGUUGGUGGGGUAAAGGCCUACCAAGGCAACGAUCAGUAGCUGGUCUGAGAGGACGAUCAGCCACACUGGGACUGAGACACGGCCCAGACUCCUACGGGAGGCAGCAGUGGGGAAUUUUGGACAAUGGGCGAAAGCCUGAUCCAGCCAUGCCGCGUGAAUGAAGAAGGCCUUCGGGUUGUAAAGUUCUUUUAGUUGGAAAGAAAAAAUUAUGAUGAAUAAUCAUAAUUCAUGACGGUACCGACAGAAAAAGCACCGGCUAACUACGUGCCAGCAGCCGCGGUAAUACGUAGGGUGCAAGCGUUAAUCGGAAUUACUGGGCGUAAAGGGUGUGCAGCGGCCUUGUAAGUCAGAUGUGAAAGCCCCGGGCUUAACCUGGGAAUUGCGUUUGAAACUACAGGGCUAGAGUGCAGCAGAGGGGAGUGGAAUUCCAUGUGUAGCAGUGAAAUGCGUAGAGAUAUGGAAGAACACCGAUGGCGAAGGCAGCUCCCUGGGCUGACACUGACGCUCAUACACGAAAGCGUGGGGAGCAAACAGGAUUAGAUACCCUGGUAGUCCACGUCCUAAACUAUGUCAACUAGUUGUCGGAUCUAAUUGGGGAUUUGGUAACGUAGCUAACGCGUGAAGUUGACCGCCUGGGGACUACGGCCGCAAGGCUAAAACUCAAAGGAAUUGACGGGGACCCGCACAAGCGGUGGAUUAUGUGGAUUAAUUCGAUGCAACGCGAAAAACCUUACCUACCCUUGACAUGCUUGGAAUCUAAUGGAGACAUAAGAGUGCCCGAAAGGGAGCCAAGACACAGGUGCUGCAUGGCUGUCGUCAGCUCGUGUCGUGAGAUGUUGGGUUAAGUCCCGCAACGAGCGCAACCCUUGUCGUUAAUUGCUAUCAUUUUUAAUGAGCACUUUAACGAGACUGCCGGUGACAAACCGGAGGAAGGUGGGGAUGACGUCAAGUCCUCAUGGCCCUUAUGGGUAGGGCUUCACACGUAAUACAAUGGCGUGUACAGAGGGUUGCCAAUCCGUGAGGAGGAGCUAAUCUCAGAAAGCACGUCGUAGUCCGGAUCGGAGUCUGCAAUUCGACUCCGUGAAGUCGGAAUCGCUAGUAAUCGCGGAUCAGAAUGUCGCGGUGAAUACGUUCCCGGGUCUUGUACACACCGCCCGUCACACCAUGGAAGUGAUUUUCACCAGAAGCAGGUAGUUUAACCGCAAGGAGGGCGCUUGCCACGGUGGGGGUCAUGACUGGGGUG
This 1463-nucleotide ribosomal RNA is filed under the name Nitrosomonas sp. IWT514. RNAcentral describes it as "bacterial SSU rRNA". It matches the Rfam family "Bacterial small subunit ribosomal RNA". Lineage: Bacteria; Pseudomonadati; Pseudomonadota; Betaproteobacteria; Nitrosomonadales; Nitrosomonadaceae. The record is from RNAcentral.